AAGAGUUUGAUCAUGGCUCAGAUUGAACGCUGGCGGCAGGCCUAACACAUGCAAGUCGAACGGUAACAGAAAGCAGCUUGCUGCUUUGCUGACGAGUGGCGGACGGGGGAGUAAUGUCUGGGAAACUGCCUGAUGGAGGGGGAUAACUACUGGAAACGGUAGCUAAUACCGCAUAACGUCGCAAGACCAAAGAGGGGGACCUUCGGGCCUCUUGCCAUCGGAUGUGCCCAGAUGGGAUUAGCUUGUUGGUGGGGUAACGGCUCACCAAGGCGACGAUCCCUAGCUGGUCUGAGAGGAUGACCAGCCACACUGGAACUGAGACACGGUCCAGACUCCUACGGGAGGCAGCAGUGGGGAAUAUUGCACAAUGGGCGCAAGCCUGAUGCAGCCAUGCCGCGUGUAUGAAGAAGGCCUUCGGGUUGUAAAGUACUUUCAGCGGGGAGGAAGGGAGU
RNAcentral lists this ribosomal RNA (452 nucleotides) under Escherichia coli. RNAcentral's name for it is "bacterial SSU rRNA". It matches the Rfam family "Bacterial small subunit ribosomal RNA", at positions 1 to 455 of the family's 1533-position model. Lineage: Bacteria; Pseudomonadati; Pseudomonadota; Gammaproteobacteria; Enterobacterales; Enterobacteriaceae. The record is from RNAcentral.